Molecule: unclassified non-coding RNA, 331 nt
Filed under: soil metagenome
Description: partial contains 5.8S ribosomal RNA, internal transcribed spacer 2, and large subunit ribosomal RNA
Rfam family: 5.8S ribosomal RNA (bases 1-120)
Source: RNAcentral
GAUGAAGAACUCAGCGAAAUGCGAUAAGUAAUGUGAAUUGCAGAAUUCAGUGAAUCAUCGAAUCUUUGAGCGCACAUUGCGCCCCCUGGUAUUCCGGGGGGCAUGCCUGUUCGAGCGUCAUUUCACCACUCAAGCCUCGCUUGGUAUUGGGCAACGCGGUCCGCCGCGUGCCUCAAAUCGUCCGGCUGGGUCUUCUGUCCCCUAAGCGUUGUGGAAACUAUUCGCUAAAGGGUGUUCGGGAGGCUACGCCGUAAAACAACCCCAUUUCUAAGGUUGACCUCGGAUCAGGUAGGGAUACCCGCUGAACUUAAGCAUAUCAAUAAGCGGAGGA